RNAcentral lists this ribosomal RNA (192 nucleotides) under Candidatus Phocaeicola merdigallinarum. RNAcentral describes it as "partial 23S ribosomal RNA". It matches the Rfam family "Bacterial large subunit ribosomal RNA", at positions 2717 to 2925 of the family's 2925-position model. The record is from RNAcentral. Lineage: Bacteria; Pseudomonadati; Bacteroidota; Bacteroidia; Bacteroidales; Bacteroidaceae.
CCGGUUGUGCCGCCAGGCGCAUCGCCGGGUAUCCAAGUCGGGAUCGGAUAAGCGCUGAAAGCAUCUAAGUGCGAAGCCGGCCACAAGAUUAGAUUUCUCAGGGUCGUUGAAGACGACAACGUUGAUAGGAUGCAGGUGUAAAGCUGGAGACAGCAAAGCCGAGCAUUACUAAUUGCCCGUCAGCUUUCCUUA